GAAAACCACUCUCAUCAAAGAGCCCUGGGCACCAUCGGGCACGUUCUCAGGCACCUUCAGGCACUUUCAGGCACCUUCAGGCUCUUUCAGGCACAUGCUCGGGAACCUUUCAUUCUGACUUUGACAAUUGGAAAAUCCAUUUCAAAAUAUCAAAGUAAUCAGGAUUCUGACCCAAACAUUUUAAGUUGUCAGAAGAACUGUUUUUGGUUGCAAUUUGGGUUGCAAGUGAAUUUUGUCCAAUCAAAAUGAUUUGUGAGUUAAACAAUUAUAUUUUGUCGUGAAAUAUGUACGAAAAAACUCGUUGCUUAGGAUAUAUCGAUUGAAGCUAAAUUUGAAGAUUUUCAAACUUGGCUUGGGAUUUCAAAAUUUUAAAAUUGGAAUGUUAUCAAUUGUACAGAAAUAAAAGCAGUUUUAUAUUUAUGCUUCUGGUGUACUUUUUUUUUGGAAAACAGAAAAACAGAACGAGGUUUAUGGUCUACAAUUUGGGUUUGUCGCAGUGAAUCGUUUUAAUAUCUGAGUUCAAUGUUUAAGCUUGGAUAACGUCAAUUUUCGAAAGCUUUGAAUGUGGUUGUUGUUGAGAUAGCUCUAACUCUGUUGAUUGCACUGGUUAUCUGUUUCAGAUUAGUGAAAAUUAGGUAAUUCAUCAUCGGCUUUACAAAAUUGUGUCCUGUAUUUUUUUCUUAAAACACUUUAUUAUGCUUUUUAUUUCUAACAAAAACUAGUUUUUUUUUUAUUUCUCGAAAAUUUUUAUUGAGUUGGUAACGAUGAUUUUCAUUUCAUCGAAA
Long non-coding RNA from Culex quinquefasciatus (southern house mosquito), 785 nucleotides. RefSeq lists it as uncharacterized. Lineage: Eukaryota; Metazoa; Arthropoda; Insecta; Diptera; Culicidae. The record is from RefSeq and is a predicted model, not a curated record. The transcript is spliced from 2 exons.